CGUUAUGGCGGCUGUGCGUGGGCGGGCUUCGGCCCGGCCGGUUUCCUAUUUGGCCGGUUUCUCACCCCGCGCGCAGUCGCCCCCAAU
RNAcentral lists this non-coding RNA (87 nucleotides) under Kushneria sinocarnis. Lineage: Bacteria; Pseudomonadati; Pseudomonadota; Gammaproteobacteria; Oceanospirillales; Halomonadaceae. The record is from RNAcentral.